AGAGAAUCAAAAUCGUUCCAAGCCUUACUAAGCUGCUACUCAUUCAGUAUGACUCAAUUUGAGUGAGUCUGUUUCUGAGCUUUUCGCUCAAUGAGCUUUAUUCUAAAACGGCAAUUUUCCACUGGUACACCCAGCAUCCAGUUUUAUAGCCUAGGAAUUUUGCCUCAACCUUCAGUCGGGUUAUUCGUUUAAACUGACAUGCAUGUGUUUUUUCGCUGCGUUCAUAAAAAAUUAAAAAACAAAUUAAAUUUUGUCAGAAAUUAUUCUGUUGUAUCGGUCGUGUAGUGCCGCGUUUUCCAUUCCCAGUGAUCUUGCGCGCCUGGUGUCAUAUCGUUUUUGUGGGGACCGUGUCUAUCUGGUUGGUCGCGGCGGCUGGAGGUGUUAGCUGCUUCAGCUGCCUGUCCACGCUGUUGGCCGUCUAAGUUGGACACGGGCCCUUCUUUCAGCGGUAUUUCGCUAGUGCUGGUGGGAAUACGUGGGUGUGUGUGCGUGGCUCUGCACUGACCCACACCUCCAGUCAAAUUGGUAAUAUAUCUCCUCUUAUACUAACACUAUAUUAAUGAAUCCGAUUUCUCAGGAUCCAAAUAAAGAACUUUGCUGCACACCUCUCAUGUUUUGAGGCCUUUUUCUGCCUGCUGUCACUGCUUUUAUAUAAAUCUGCGCCCUGGAGUAUUUAAUUCACAUCAAAUUCCGACCACCUAUGCUUUCUUGUGGGGAACCUUGCUGCUGGAUUGUGCCGCAACGCGGGACACUUUUUAUAUAUAUAUUGAUCGUCUGCCUGAACACGUCAUGUAGUGGAAAUGAGCUAAUCAAUGUGUGAUGCUAUCUCCAUAAACUCUAUGAUAAUGCAGAGAUUCAUACAUGCUCUAAUUGCAAUGAUGUCUGGUAUCAAAUAGGCCUUGGAUUCAACAUACUCUUCUGAUAAGAUACUGUUCCUGCAACCGCUUCCCUUGGUACUACUGGAUCUUCACAGCAGCAACACUUACAACUACACUAUUCAUACUUAUGUUACUAUUUAAGAUUACUAUUGUCAUACUUUUAAGCUCACCAUAAUGUUUAGUUCAUAGUUUAUGCUACUCAAAAUGAAUUUAUCAUAAAUUUUUUAAACUUCAAUUUUGAAAAAGAAACUUUGAAUAUAUUGUUAUAAAUCAUAUAUCACUUUAUUUUGUAAACUCUUUAUAAUUUACAACUUGAAUUCAAAUUCUUAAUUUUUCUUAUUAUUAAUGUUACAACUCCACUUUUCAUCACAUUUCUUAUUACUUUUACACAUUGUUUGUUAUUUCUCAGUAGAAUAAAUUACACUUAGAUUUAAUUUAUGUACUUAUAAAACACAACAGCCACACCACAACAUCUACUCCUGGUACCCCCUUGAGGGAGGGGGUGCCUCACCUACUCGCUUCGGCUUUUCACCGCAUUCCCUCCACUCUUUCAAACGGGAAGGAUCAAGACAGUAAUUUUGUUGUCGUCACCUCCUUUGACUGCACUACCGGCUGGAUUUGGGAUUAGUUCUAAGUUUAGUUUAAGUAAAGUUGUACCCAUUUUCUGGCU
Molecule: long non-coding RNA, 1548 nt
Organism: Scaptodrosophila lebanonensis
Lineage: Eukaryota; Metazoa; Arthropoda; Insecta; Diptera; Drosophilidae
Exons: 3
Source: RefSeq, a predicted model, not a curated record